This 559-nucleotide ribosomal RNA is filed under the name Escherichia coli. Its description in RNAcentral is "partial 23S ribosomal RNA". It matches the Rfam family "Bacterial large subunit ribosomal RNA", at positions 609 to 1168 of the family's 2925-position model. Lineage: Bacteria; Pseudomonadati; Pseudomonadota; Gammaproteobacteria; Enterobacterales; Enterobacteriaceae. The record is from RNAcentral.
UGUAUAAUGGGUCAGCGACUUAUAUUCUGUAGCAAGGUUAACCGAAUAGGGGAGCCGAAGGGAAACCGAGUCUUAACUGGGCGUUAAGUUGCAGGGUAUAGACCCGAAACCCGGUGAUCUAGCCAUGGGCAGGUUGAAGGUUGGGUAACACUAACUGGAGGACCGAACCGACUAAUGUUGAAAAAUUAGCGGAUGACUUGUGGCUGGGGGUGAAAGGCCAAUCAAACCGGGAGAUAGCUGGUUCUCCCCGAAAGCUAUUUAGGUAGCGCCUCGUGAAUUCAUCUCCGGGGGUAGAGCACUGUUUCGGCAAGGGGGUCAUCCCGACUUACCAACCCGAUGCAAACUGCGAAUACCGGAGAAUGUUAUCACGGGAGACACACGGCGGGUGCUAACGUCCGUCGUGAAGAGGGAAACAACCCAGACCGCCAGCUAAGGUCCCAAAGUCAUGGUUAAGUGGGAAACGAUGUGGGAAGGCCCAGACAGCCAGGAUGUUGGCUUAGAAGCAGCCAUCAUUUAAAGAAAGCGUAAUAGCUCACUGGUCGAGUCGGCCUGCGCGGAA